Long non-coding RNA from Mastomys coucha (southern multimammate mouse), 843 nucleotides. RefSeq lists it as uncharacterized. The record is from RefSeq and is a predicted model, not a curated record. NCBI's taxonomy places the organism in Eukaryota, Metazoa, Chordata, Mammalia, Rodentia, Muridae. The transcript has 2 exons.
AGCCUUUGUGGCGCGCUCGGGCCCGCCGCCAAGCCCGCCCUCCGCACCCCCCCGCCCGGGCUCUCGGGACUCGCCCGCGCCGGGGCCAGCCUAGGCGGGCUGGCGCGAACGCCUUCCGCCGCCCUGCGUUUCUGCGGUGCUUUAGCGGCGGCGGCGGCGGAGGAGGAGGAGGCAGCGUCACAUGACAACGAGCUGGCUUCUUCCGAGGGUCCUGGGGGUCGCUCAGCCCGACUGCUGUCCCAGGCCUCGGGUUGCUGGGGUGGGGUAGGGGGCUGAGGACCCGGGCCGACGGGGCGUCGCAGCCUGGCUUUCCCGCUAUCCGUCCGUCUGAGCUCCGGACGGGGGUUGGGGGGAGCCUCCUGGUGAAACGUGUCCAGGCCGGAGCACUGCCCCGCUAGUUUCCCAAUCCCCCGGGAGAUGAGGCCAAUAAAAGUUGUUUUUCCUCUUCUCUGAAUGUGGGGGGCGGGAUGAAGGGCUGGGAAACCCGAGUGCUUGGAGUUGGACCUGAGCCCCACUUGGAGGGGUCCGAACCGAGUGCUGUUUGUGUGUGCAUGGGGACCAUAACGUUUUCUGCUUUUCGGAUUGUCACGUCACCCGCUUCUGCCUACAUUAGGAUUGUUAGUGAUUCUUUCCACAUUGCAGACAGUCGUGUCCUGGGAGUGUUAAGCUGUGGGGAUGGUUUUGGAGCCCUAUAGACCCUAAGUAGUUCAGUUCGUGGUAUCGAGUUAUUUGCUGUUGAAGUUGGUGUCAAGAUGAGGGAAAUUGCAAAUUCUGAUGUCGAAGCUCUCUUAUGGAAAUGUACAGGACAGUGGGAAUAAAAACGUUUUGUGUAUGAUCUUAGAA